GACGUCUUGGGGUCUCCUAAGGGGUCUGCGGAGCCGGUCGUCCCUUUUUGAGGGGUCCCCGGACACGGCGACCCUUUCGGGGAUGGGACAUCCGGUCCCGAGCUCUUCGUUGGAGUUGUGGUCCCUGCAUCCCUUUAUUAGUUUAGUUUAUCUUGUCUGUCUCUGAGACCUCCACCGGGGUGAAUGGACUCCUGGAUUCUGCCUGCGUUGGGGACCGAUCCCUGACCCCCACAUCCAGGAAAAAUAGGCCUAAAGUAUGAGUUUCAGGGCUCUCCCUCGUCCUGAGCCCAGGUGGAUCUUGGGCUCCCUGGGAAGGAUUCAUUAACUCCUUGUAGCCUAUGGAGGGCUCAGUAGUGGCGCGUUUGCCUCCUUAAACAGGGUGGUCAGAGAAAGGCCUCCUCCAGAAGGUAAGGUUUCAAGGGGUCAGGUUUGAAGGGAACCCAAGACUUGCUGAGCUGUUCCAGAUGGAGAGACUAAGCUCGCUCGGGAUGUGUGCCUGGAGCUCCACAACCCCCUCUCUCCUCCCCUCACUUCUCUUAGUAGCAGGAGCCUAAACUUAGACUGCCGACUGCAGUUCAGAAGGCCUGAGUUUCUGUUUUGGGGACAAGUGCUGCUUAUCUGUGUAUAUGGAGGGAGGAGUUGGGUCACAGUGCCUCUAGUGUCUUGCUAGCACAAGCUCCUGCUUUCUGGAGUCUCUGAUGCUCCUUCCUCAAGGUGUAAUCAUCCUUUGAUGGCACCUGUCCUAGGCAGCUGUGCCUCCCACAUUAUGCCCUCUAUAGGCACCUCUGCUGACGCCACUGGAAACCACAGAGGGCUACGGCGUGCCACUACCUGCUUGCUGUGUCUGGGAAGUGUCUGCCAGGUUCCUGGAGGGCACAGGAGUCUGUCCUCCCAACCUCCCAACUUGUCAUAUCAUCCUUGUUUACCUCUUGUUUUGCAGCAUUGAGGAUGGACCCCAGGUUGCUCUACCACUGAGCUACAUCACCUGGUCCAUUAACUGUUUAUCUUGAGACAGGGUCUUGCUAAGUUGUCCAGGUGGGCCUUGAACUUGUGAUCCUCCUGCCUCAGUCUCCUGGAUAACUGGGGUUACAGGUGUGGCCAUCACAACCAGAGGCAGUGUCAUUUCAUCUUAAUUCACUCAUGCAGCAAAGUCUGUAUGAUUCAGAGCCCUCUGGAGCCAUACUGACUUUAAAACUGUCUGCUGCGUUCCUCGAGACAAAACACUCAGGGUCACACCUGGGGACUGGGCUGUGCAAAAUAACCACACGAGAGACAGAGAGACCUUUUUCUUUGGGGUCCUAUGAGGCUCCUCUGACCUUAAGGGUCUGUGGAAAGAGAACUGGUUGACUGACAGCUAGGAAGGCCACACCCAAGGGCAGAGCAAGAGAAGGGAACACACAAAGGGCAUUUCCAAACAGGGCAAAGGGGUAACAUCACAAAGGAACAGGUGAGCGUAGCUCCACCUAUGGGGCUGCGGGAAGGCAUGCCCAGGCACGAAGACACAUUCAUUCACACAUUCUGCGACUUCCAAGAUCGGGGCGUCAUCGAGGGCCACUUUGAUGUGGCCAGAUCACUUGGAAGUGACCGACAGAAUCUCACCAAUCAGGAAAGGAAUGUGCUGGUCACAUGGUGCGGCGGCCUCCCACAACUGUCCCUGCUGAAGUUGGGCGCA
Molecule: long non-coding RNA, 1672 nt
Filed under: Marmota monax (woodchuck)
Lineage: Eukaryota; Metazoa; Chordata; Mammalia; Rodentia; Sciuridae
Source: RNAcentral